UUUUGAUCAAAUGAAUGCAUCCUUACUGAGUAAAACUGUUAUUUUCUUUCAAAAAUAAAUCUUACUGAUCCCAAAUUUUGAAUGGUAUUGUAUAAAUUGGAUUUCUAAAACUCUUUCCCCUUUUUAAAAAAAAAUUGUAGUCCAUGCUUUUUUUUUGGUAAGAUGAGACAUAAAGGGAUACAACAAGAUAUACUAAAAAUAUCCAAAUCAGAAUGUUGAUCAGAAUCAGAAUAAUGCUUUUUCUUUCACUUAAACCCUUUUCUUUUUUUCACCAUCUCUUUAUUCCAACACAUGCUUUCCUAUCUUAAAUCUAACAAAGUUUAGCUAAAGUUGAAUUGUUUUACUUCUUUUACACACUGGUGGAAAAUCUAUGACAGUAUAACACAUCACUGUUAGUAAUGGUCAGUAUUGAAUGACAAAUCACCCAGAAAUAGACAGGAAGGAUAUUGAAAAGGAACUAAAAGGUAGAAAAUGUGUGAGAAGAAAAAUAAACCCACAAAAACCUUGUGAGUAUGUAUAAAUGCUUGCUUCCUCUCCUGAUUAAAAAACGUAGUGUUUUCUUAUCACCUAGUUAACUUCCCUUUUCGUACAGACUAGUUUGAUCCUGAUAAUCAAAUGUUGCACUCAUCAAUAGAGGAUGCACAUGAUAAACUCCCCGUUCAGCACUCGGCCCUUGUUAUUGCCUGCUGUAUCUUUCUAGAAGGGAGGACAGUAUUAUAGUGAUCAGCUGGCGGGGAGGGUCUCAAGACCACAGCGGUCCAACAUCCCUCAUCGCCGCCUGAUCAUCAUCCGCUUCUGCUCUGCAAACAUCAUGCUGGACAUCUUGAUAUUGAUGUUCUUCGCCAUCAUCGGCCUCAUGUUCCUGUCCUACAUCAUCUACAUGCUGUGAUCGCCAUGGCAUCCAUGAGAGCGGAUGCCGGAUUCACGUCCUCGGGGGUAUUUGAACACAAAGCUUACAGGAAGAAGCGCUGUGUUUGUGGGAUCAUGUCUCUGGAUCCUGAGAUGAGGAACAGCUGUAACGAGAAUUCAGUGGAGGACGCAGCAGGAUACACUUACAAGAUGAGACUUCACACUUCCUUCUCAUCUCUCUGUCAUACAAACACUUUUCCUACAGGAUAGCACCUAACACACACACACACACACACACACACAAACCUACACCAGACUGCUGUGUUCCUCCUACCUUUUAUUUAGAAGACACUAUUCAAAUAUAUUUUCCUAAAGGCGCAGUCCAUGGCAGAAACAGUAGGCUAACGUUACCACAAACUCUAAAAUAUAUGGCUGUCUGGCUAUUAUUUGUGUCCUAUUCUUCUGUCUAUUAUUUCUGCACAUGUCUAUCUGAAAACAAAUGCAUGUAUUUUAUGCCAAUGGAUGCUCAAAAAUGACCAAUUGAUUUUCAGAAUAAAGAGCCUUUGUGAGGAUGAAACGGCC
Molecule: non-coding RNA, 1431 nt
Organism: Pimephales promelas (fathead minnow)
Lineage: Eukaryota; Metazoa; Chordata; Actinopteri; Cypriniformes; Leuciscidae
Source: RefSeq, a predicted model, not a curated record